RNAcentral lists this ribosomal RNA (496 nucleotides) under uncultured bacterium. Its description in RNAcentral is "partial 16S ribosomal RNA". It matches the Rfam family "Bacterial small subunit ribosomal RNA", at positions 28 to 506 of the family's 1533-position model. The record is from RNAcentral.
GAUGAACGCUGGCGGCGUGCCUAAUACAUGCAAGUCGAGCGAACAGACGAGGAGCUUGCUCCUCUGACGUUAGCGGCGGACGGGUGAGUAACACGUGGAUAACCUACCUAUAAGACUGGGAUAACUUCGGGAAACCGGAGCUAAUACCGGAUAAUAUAUUGAACCGCAUGGUUCAAUAGUGAAAGACGGUUUUGCUGUCACUUAUAGAUGGAUCCGCGCCGCAUUAGCUAGUUGGUAAGGUAACGGCUUACCAAGGCAACGAUGCGUAGCCGACCUGAGAGGGGGAUCGGCCACACUGGAACUGAGACACGGUCCAGACUCCUACGGGAGGCAGCAGUAGGGAAUCUUCCGCAAUGGGCGAAAGCCUGACGGAGCAACGCCGCGUGAGUGAUGAAGGUCUUCGGAUCGUAAAACUCUGUUAUUAGGGAAGAACAAAUGUGUAAGUAACGAUGCACGUCUUGACGGUACCUAAUCAGAAAGCCACGGCGAACUACGU